AGGACGAACGCUGGCGGCGUGCUUAACACAUGCAAGUCGAACGGUGAUCUCGGUGCUUGCACCUGGUGAUCAGUGGCGAACGGGUGAGUAACACGUGAGUAACCUGCCCCAGACUCUGGGAUAACCCCGAGAAAUCGGAGCUAAUACCGGAUACGAGACGCACAGGCAUCUGUAGCGUUUGGAAAGAAUUUCGGUCUGGGAUGGACUCGCGGCCUAUCAGCUAGUUGGUGGGUAAUGGCCCACCAAGGCGACGACGGGUA
This 260-nucleotide ribosomal RNA is filed under the name uncultured soil bacterium. Its description in RNAcentral is "partial 16S ribosomal RNA". It matches the Rfam family "Bacterial small subunit ribosomal RNA", at positions 26 to 285 of the family's 1533-position model. The record is from RNAcentral.